This 403-nucleotide ribosomal RNA is filed under the name bacterium. Its description in RNAcentral is "partial 16S ribosomal RNA". It matches the Rfam family "Bacterial small subunit ribosomal RNA", at positions 355 to 776 of the family's 1533-position model. The record is from RNAcentral.
UGGGGAAUAUUGCACAAUGGGGGAAACCCUGAUGCAGCGACGCCGCGUGAACGAAGAAGGUAUUCGUAUCGUAAAGUUCUGUCCUAUGGGAAGAUAAUGACAGUACCAUAGAAGAAAGCUCCGGCUAAAUCCGUGCCAGCAGCCGCGGUAAUACGUAUGGAGCGAGCGUGGUCCGGAAUUAUUGGGCGUAAAGGGUACGCAGGCGGUUUAAUAAGUCGAAUGUUAAAGAUCGGGGCUCAACCCCGCAAAGCAUUGGAAACUGAUAAACUUGAGUAGUGGAGAGGAAAGUGGAAUUCCUAGUGUAGUGGUGAAAUACGUAGAUAUUAGGAGGAAUACCAGUAGCGAAGGCGACUUUCUGGACACAAACUGACGCUGAGGUACGAAAGCGUGGGGAGCAAACAGG